Molecule: ribosomal RNA, 497 nt
Filed under: uncultured bacterium
Lineage: Bacteria
Description: partial 16S ribosomal RNA
Rfam family: Bacterial small subunit ribosomal RNA
Source: RNAcentral
GAUGAACGCUGGCGGCGUGCCUAAUACAUGCAAGUCGAGCGAACAGACGAGGAGCUUGCUCCUCUGACGUUAGCGGCGGACGGGUGAGUAACACGUGGAUAACCUACCUAUAAGACUGGGAUAACUUCGGGAAACCGGAGCUAAUACCGGAUAAUAUAUUGAACCGCAUGGUUCAAUAGUGAAAGACGGUUUUGCUGUUACUUAUAGAUGGAUCCGCGCCGCAUUAGCUAGUUGGUAAGGUAACGGCUUACCAAGGCGACGAUGCGUAGCCGACCUGAGAGGGUGAUCGGCCACACUGGAACUGAGACACGGUCCAGACUCCUACGGGAGGCAGCAGUAGGGAAUCUUCCGCAAUGGGCAAAAGCCUGACGGAGCAACGCCGCGUGAGUGAUGAAGGUCUUCGGAUCGUAAAACUCUGUUAUUAGGGAAGAACAAAUGUGUAAGUAACUAUGCACGUCUUGACGGUACCUAAUCAGAAAGCCACGGCUAACUACGUG